Molecule: ribosomal RNA, 265 nt
Filed under: uncultured archaeon
Lineage: Archaea
Description: partial 16S ribosomal RNA
Rfam family: Archaeal small subunit ribosomal RNA
Source: RNAcentral
ACACGACUACAUUAGAUACCCGGGUAGUCCUAGCCGUAAACGAUACUCGCUAGGUGUCGGCCACGGUGCGACCGUUGUCGGUGCCGUAGGGAAGCCGUGAAGCGAGCCACCUGGGAAGUACGGCCGCAAGGCUGAAACUUAAAGGAAUUGGCGGGGGAGCACCACAACGGGUGGAGCUUGCGGUUUAAUUGAAUUCAACGCCGGAAAUCUUACCGGGACCGACAGCAACAUGAAGGCCAGGCUGAAGACUUUGCCGGAUUAGCUG